This 433-nucleotide ribosomal RNA is filed under the name uncultured bacterium. RNAcentral describes it as "partial 16S ribosomal RNA". It matches the Rfam family "Bacterial small subunit ribosomal RNA", at positions 29 to 507 of the family's 1533-position model. The record is from RNAcentral.
AACGAACGCUGGCGGCAUGCCUAACACAUGCAAGUCGAACGAGACCUUCGGGUCUAGUGGCGCACGGGUGCGUAACGCGUGGGAACCUGCCCUUAGGUUCGGAAUAACUCCCCGAAAGGGGUGCUAAUACCGGAUAAUGUCUUCGGACCAAAGAUUUAUCGCCUUUGGAUGGGCCCGCGUUGGAUUAGCUAGUUGGUAGGGUAAAAGCCUACCAAGGCGACGAUCCAUAGCUGGUCUGAGAGGAUGAUCAGCCACACUGGGACUGCGACACGGCCCAGACUCCUACGGGAGGCAGCAGUGGGGAAUAUUGGACAAUGGGCGAAAGCCUGAUCCAGCAAUGCCGCGUGAGUGAUGAAGGCCUUAGGGUUGUAAAGCUCUUUUACCCGGGAUGAUAAUGACAGUACCGGGAGAAUAAGCUCCGGCUAACUCCGUG